Molecule: long non-coding RNA, 5879 nt
Filed under: Mytilus galloprovincialis (Mediterranean mussel)
Lineage: Eukaryota; Metazoa; Mollusca; Bivalvia; Mytilida; Mytilidae
Source: RNAcentral
UUUUUAUACGACCGCAAAAAUUUAAAUUUUUUGGUCGUAUAUUGCUAUCACGUUGGCGUCGUCGUCGUCGUCUGCGUCGUCGUUGUCGUCGUCGUCGUCCGAAUACUUUUAGUUUUCGCACUCUAACUUUAGUAAAAGUGAAUAGAAAUCAAUGAAAUUUUAACACAAGGUUUAUGACCACAAAAGGAAGGUUGGGAUUGAUUUUGGGAGUUUUGGUCUCAACAUUUUAGGAAUUAGGGGCCAAAAAGGGCCCAAAUAAGCAUUUUCUUGGUUUUCGCACUAUAACUUUAGUUUAAGUGAAUAGAAAUCUAUGAAAUUUUGACACAAGGUUUAUGACCAAAAAGGAAGGUUGGGAUUGAUUUUGGGAGUUUUGGUUCCAACAGUUUAGGAAAUAAGGGCCAAAAAAGGGCCAAAAUAAGCAUUAUUCUUGGUUUUUGCACAAUAACUUUAGUAUAAGUAAAUAGAAAUCAAUGAAAUUUUAACACAAGGUUUAUGACCACAAAAGGAAGGUUGGGAUUGAUUUUGGGAUCACAACAGUUUAUGAAUUAGGGGCCAAAAAGGGGCCCAAAUAAGCAUUAUUUUUGGUUUUUGCACCAUAACUUUAGUAUAAGUAAUAGAAAUCUAUGAAAUUUAAACAUAAGGUUUAUGACCAUAAAAGGAAGGUUGGGUUUGAUUUUGGGAGUUUUGGUCCUAACAGUUUAGGAAUAAGGGGCCCAAAGGGUCCAAAAUUGAACUUUGUGUGAUUUCAUCAAAAAUUGAAUAAUUGAGGUUCUUUGAUAUGCCGAAUCUAACUAUGUAUGUAGAUUCUUAAUUUUUGGUCCCGUUUUCAAAUUGGUCUACAUUAAGGUCCAAAGGGUCCAAAAUUAAACUUAGUUUGAUUUUAACAAAAAUUGAAUCCUUGGGGUUCUUUGAUAUGCUGAAUUUAAAAAUGUACUUAGAUGUUUAAUUAUUGGCCUAGUUUUCAAGUUGGUCCAAAUGGGGGUCCAAAAUUAAACUUUGUUUGAUUUCAUCAAAAAUUGAAUAAAUGGAUUUUUUGAUAUGCCAAAUCUAACUGUGUAUGUAGAUUCUUAAUUUUUGGUCCAGUUUUCAAAUUGGUCUGCAUUAAGGUCCAAAGGGUCCAAAAUUAAACUAAGUUUGAUUUUCACAAAAAUUAAAUUCUUAGGCUUAUUUGAUAUGCUUUAUCUAAAUAUGUACUUUGAUUUUUGAUUAUGGGCCCAGUUUUGAAGUUGGUCCAAAUCAGGAUUCCAUAUCAAGUAUUGUGCAAUAGCAAGAAAUUUUCAAUUGCACAGUAUUGCACAUGUAUGUUGCUGAUGAAGUUUUUUUUUAUUGUUUUAUACAAUAAACAAUGUAUAUUCACUUUUACUACCAACCAAUCUUUACCAUUCAGUGAUAACAAGCACUUUAUUUUACAUUUUAAUAUUUUAUGAUGUAUUUAAAAGAGUAGUUAUUGUUGCAAACUCCAUUAGAAAUUUGAAUUGAUAUCAGUUUUGGAAAAAGGGAAAUGGGGAUGUAAAAAAAGGGGGGGGGGGUUUAAAUUUUUCUCAUUUCAGAUUUCAUAAAUAAAAAGAAAAUUUCUUCAAACAUUUUUUUGAGAGGAUUAAUAUUCAACAGCAUAGUGAAUUGCUCAAAGGCAAAAAAAAACUUUUAAGUUCAUUAGACCACAUUCGUUCUGUGUCAGAAACCUAUGCUGUGUCAUGAUCAACUAUUCAAUUUUAGAUUUAAAAAGUUUGAAGAAGAAAUCUUUAAUUGAUUUGUAAAAUCUUGACAUUUUUGACAUUUGUUUUGUGUAAAAAAAAACCCAUGUAAUGUCAAAAAUUUGAUCACAAUCCAAAUUCAGAGCUGUAUCACGCUUGAAUGUUUUGUCCAUACUUGCCCCAACUGUUCAGGGUUCGACCUCUGCGGUCGUAUCAAGAUGCGCCCUGCGGAGCACCUGGUUGACAUUUACAAUAGAAAAUAGCUGUUGGGUUCAGAAAUUGUUGUAAUUAUUAAGGUUCUCCAGAUCUGGUGUAUUAAUAAUAUAUUUGUCAUUUGUAAAGUCUUGAAAGUAUAUUAAAUGAAGUAUGAUAGAAAAUGAGAAAAAAGAAAUAAAAAAAAAAAAAUCAACUUUCAAGGAAUAAAUUUGAACACUUUGGUUAGAUAUUACAUUUCUUAUUAAUAAUAAAGAAUUAGUGCAGACACGAAAAGAUAACUCUUACCACGUGUAGAAGAAAUCUGAUUUAAAACAUAAAUGAACAAAAUAUGAAAAUAAAGAAUUUACUAUUGUCUUCCAAUCUUUCGGAUAUUAAAGUUUUAAUGAAGAGUAGCUUUUAUUAGUGACGUUGGGUUGACAAACUCCGAAACAGUGGUGACAUCUGGCUACGCUUCUUUGUAGAUAAAGGGACGAAGUAUGACCAGAACGAUAACAAUGUAUGGAGUUUACCGAAAUGAGUGAUACGGGUGCUUCGUAACACCUCCAGUCCCUGCAUGCUAAACAUUUGUUUGGCAUCGUUGUUUGGCUGGUAUGCAUUAUUGUUACAGGUGUAUAUAUGAACUGUAUCAAAUAACUAUUUAUUGAUAAUAUGGUUAAAGUGUAAAUGUAUAACAGAUUUUUUAAUUACUGAUUUCCAGACUUCUAAUAUAAAAAAGGAGAAUGACAUUAUUAAUUGGGCAAUUAUACCACCGCUUUUAUUACCAUAUUACGAUUAGAAAAAAGCGUGUUUGUUCUUCAACAAUGAAAUUUUCAAAUUAGCAGACAUAUAAUUGUAUAUACGCUGACAGAAUUAUUACUAAAAGUGCAAUCUAAUUACUAAAUGUGCGACUAUACAUAAACGAUGUCCCCACACUUCCCAGUAUUGUGUUUUUUGUCAGAGAUCUAGAGUUUUCCCCAAUUUUGUUGUAUUUAAAAACAAUAAAUUCUUUAAUUCAUGUCGGCUUUAUAAAAUCUAACUUUCAAUAGAAAGUCAGUUGUUAGUUGCCAUGUACUAGUUAUAAGUAGACGCUGCUUUGUUAUAUGUAAGCAAUACUCAACGAUUGACAAAACACAACAAUUUACAUUUUUAUUUUCGAAGAUGUAAGGUAUUACACAUUUUUAACUUCAUUUUUAGCUAUAUAUGAUGUUCUCGCACUACAUAAUUCAAAAUUUGGUGCCUGUGUUGAACGCAUCUAACCCAUUGAACUUAAGAUAAAGAAUACAACAAAUUCAUUUCAAGUUUGCCUCAUAUCUUGAAAUUAUAGGAAUGAUCGUUUGAAAACAAACUUUACGACAAAAGAGAUGAUUCUAAUUAUGAACUUUCCUUUUCUAUAUAUAUCAACAUUCCAGCAGCGGCUGCAUUUGGAGAAUAUAUAUUUUUAAGUUGAUAAGAUAUUCUUGGGUUUAAAUUUUACUAUCAUUAUUUCAUUGAAAGAGGGUUGCUGCUCUCAAAGAAGCUAUUAAACCAAGAGUUCAAAGUGGCGAUGUUGAAAUCAUCCCGUCGUUAUUUUACUGUCGCCAUCACGAGUUGGUUGACCGUUAUGGAAUAUCUGUUUUUAUACGACCGCAAAAAUUGAAAAAAAUUUGGUCGUAUAUUGGUAUCACGUUGGCGUCAGCGUCGUCGUCGUCGUCGUCGUCCGAAUACUUUUGGUUUUCGCACUAUAACUUUAGUUUAAGUAAAUAGAAAUGUAUGAAUUUAAACACAAAGUUUAUGACCAUAAAAGGAAGGUUGGGAUUGAUUGUGGAAGUGUUGGUCCCUACAGUUUAGGAAUUAGGUGCCAAAAAGGGCCCAAAUAAGCAUUUUCUAGGUUUUCGCACUAUAGCUUUAGUUGAAGUAAAUAGAAAUCAAUGAUAUUUUGACACAAAGUUUAUGACCACAAAAGGAAGGUUGGGAUUGAUUUUGGGUGUGUUGGUUCCAACUGUUUAGGAAUAAGGGGCCAAAAAAAGGGCCCAAAAUAAGCAUUAUUAUGGGUUUUUGCACAAUAACUUUAGUAUAAGUAAAUAGAAAUCAUUGAAAUUUAAACACAAGAUUUAUCAACACAAAAGGAAGGUUGGGAUUGAUUUUGGGAGUUGCUAUCCCAACAGUUUAGGAAUUGGGGACCAAAAAGGGGCCGAAAUAAGCAUUUUUCUUGUUUUUCGCACCAUAACUUUAAUAUAAGUAAAUAGAAAACUAUGAAAUUUAAUCACAAGGUUUAUGACAAUAAAAGGAAGGUUGGGAUUGAUUUUGGGAGUUUUGGUCCCAACAGUUUAGGAAUAAGGGGCCCAAAGGGUCCAAAAUUAAACUUUGUUUGAUUUCAUCAAAAAUUGAAUAAUUGGGGUUCUUUGAUAUGCAAAAUCUAACUGUGUAUGUUGAUUUUUAAUUUUUGGUCCUGUUUUCAAGUUGGUCUACAUUAAAGUGCAAAGGGUCCAAAAUUAAACUAAGUUUGAUUUUAACAAAAAUUGAAUUCUUGGGCUUCUUUAAUAUGCUGAAUCUAAACAUGUACUUAGAUAUUUGAUUAUAGCCCAGUUUUCAAGUUGGUCCAAAUCAGGAUCCAAAAUUAUUAUAUUAAGUAUUGUGCAAUAGCAAGAAAUUUUCAAUUGCACAGUAUUCAGCAAUAGCAAGAAAUCUUCAAUUGCACAAUAUUGUGCAAUAGCAAGAAAUUUUCAAUUGCACAGUAUUGCGCAAUAGCAAGAAAUCUUCAAUGCACAGUAUUGUGCAAUAACAAGUAUUUUCAAUUGCACAGUAUUGCGCAAUAGCAAGAAAUAUCUAAUUGCACACUAUUGCGCAAUAGCAAGAAAUUUUCAAUUGGGAGUUAUAUUUCUUUGUCCAGAAUAGUAGUUGAAUCAACUUAAAUCAUGGUUUUACACAAUAUACAAUGUAUAUUCACUUUUACUACCAACUGAUAAAUUAAAACAAUCUUUACCAUAACAAGCACUUUUUUACAUUUUAAUAUUUUAUGAUGUAUUUAAAUGAGUAGUUAUUGUUGCAAACUCCAUUUGAAAUUUGAAUUGAGAUCGGUUUUUGAAUAAGGGAAAGGAGGAUGUGAAAAAAAUAAUUGUGGGGGGAGGGGUGUUCAAUUUUUUAUACGACCGCAAAUUUUGAAAAAAUUUUCGUCGUAUAUUGCUAUCACGUUGGCGUCGGCGUCGUCGUCGUCGUCGUCGUCGUCGUCGUCGUCGUCGUCGUCGUCCGGCGUCCGAAUACUUUUAGUUUUCGCACUCUAACUUUAGUAAAAGUGAAUAGAAAUCUAUAAAAUUUUAACACAAGGUUUAUGACCAUAAAAGGAAGGUUGGUAUUGAUUUUGGGAGUUUUGGUCCCAACAUUUUAGGAAUAAAGGGCCAAAAAGGGCCCAAAUAAGCAUUUUCUUGGUUUUCGCACCAUAACUUUAGUUUAAGUUAAUAGAAAUCUAUGAAAUUUUGACACAAGGUUUAUGACCACAAAAGAAAGAUUGGGAUUGAUUUUGGGAGUUUUGGUUUCAAUAGUUUAGGAAUAAGGGGCCAAUAAAGGGCCCAAAUAAGCAUUUUUCUUGGUUUUUGCACAAUAACCUUAGGUUAAGUAAAUGGAAAUCUAUGAAAUUUAAACACAAUGUUUAUGACCACAAAAGGAAGGUUUGGUAUUGAUUUUGGGAGUUAAGGACCCAACAGAUUAGGAAUUAGGGGCCAAAAAGGGACCCAAAUAAGCAUUUUUCUUGGUUUUCGCACUAUAAUGUUAGUAUAAGUAAAUACAAAUCUAUGAAAUUUAAACACAAGGCUUAUGACCAUAAAAGGAAGGUUGAUAUUGAUUUUGGGAGUUUUGGUCCCAACAGUUUAGGAAAAAGGGGCCCAAAGGGUCCAAAAUUAAACUUUGUUUGAUUUCAUCAAAAUUGAAUAAUUGGGGUUCUUUGAUAUGCCGAAUCUAACUGUAUAUGUAGAUUCUCAACUUUUGGUCCCGUUUUCAAAUUGGUCUACAUUAAGG